Molecule: long non-coding RNA, 1608 nt
Filed under: Homo sapiens (human)
Lineage: Eukaryota; Metazoa; Chordata; Mammalia; Primates; Hominidae
Description: non-protein coding lnc-SLC25A13-1:9
Source: RNAcentral
CAUGCUUGGAUCUGGAAGCUGUGAGAAAAAGCCCUGAGCUGUCUCCCUAAAUGGCUGUGUCUCCUGCAGUGGCUUGGUACCAUCAAGUCAGAUGAAGGACACAUUGGGCGAGGUGCCCAUCUACUGCCUGGAGAACAUGCCCAGGAGGCUGGAACCUGUUCCCUUUCAGAGAUGAAAUCCUGUCUUCUCAUCAACUCACAAGACAAAGAGGACUUUUCUGACAUCUAGCUGAAGGAGAGGGAUUGUUUCAAGUCUUGUGCAGCGGAAUUUCCCAUAGUUUGUUCUGUUGAUCCUUAGUUUUUCAAGAUGCCCAUAGGAAAAAAUAUUUUUGUGGUCAAGUCAGUUAUGGAAACCUCUGCCUUUGAGCUAUUUAUAGCUUCUUAAGGCAUAUUAGCAUGAACAUGUUCUGAGACUUCCUGUGUUGAAAAGAAACUCUGUUUAACUUUGUUUAGCUUAGUGAUUUCCAAAUUUGUUUGACCACAGAACCCUUUUUUGGGAAACAUUACUAAUAUUUCAUGGAACUAGUGGGCUACAGAAAACACAUGGGAUAUACUGAUGGACGGUGUUAGGAUGAUGGAUCAGAUGGAGAGUGGGAAGAACAAUGGAUUUAAAGUCACAGACCUAUGUUCAAGUCUAAUCGGCUGUUUACCAAAAAUGCAACAUUUUUUAGGGAGAUCUCUAAACCUCUCUCACUCUUGGUUUCCUCAUCUAAAAAUGGGAAAUAAUAAUAUUUAUUACACAGGGUGUUUGUGGGGAUGAAAGGACACAAUGUGGAAGAACAUGGGAGCAGGGCUUGGUUCAACUUCAAUUAAAUCAGACUCUUCUUGACAAGUAAACACUGGGACCAGAUGACAAUGGGAUACUGGCACAGAAGUGAUCUGCAGAAGUCUUGUUGCUGUCUACAUACACAUAUGUGUUCCAUGACUUCAUAUAUUGUUGGAAGUAGCAGCUUAUUGAUGGCUUGGGGUAUAGUUGAAAAGGAUAGGGGCCCUUCUAUAGCACCAAGUUGGCUGUCUUCAGUGUUGGUCAAGAUUAGCUGUCUUAAAGUCCAAAGGAUUGGACCGGCUAGAUAUUUUGUUGUACCUCAGAAAAAUUAUCUUAAUUUCCUAGAUAUUUUGUUGUACCUCAGAAAAAUUACCUUAAUUUUCUACCCUCUCCAAAUUUUUUCACCACAGAAUAUUUUUUUGGAGAAAAAUUAUCAAUAUUUUAUGGAACUAGUGGGCUAUAGAAAACACACAGGAUGUACUGAUAAAACACAGUAGUAAAACACAUUGGUUUAUGAAUGAUCUCUGUAUUAAACCAUCUGUACAUAUUGGUUUAAUAAAAGUUCAUUGCUAGAUCUAUCUGCUGAAUUUCCAUUCACCUUCAUUAAUGGAUGCUUUAAUUUGCAGUUCUCAAAAAGCUUUACAAAUGAAUUAGGGUAGACACAAAGCUGUGCCACCCAGAGCAUCUUCAGUGAUGUGCUGCACCCAAUAGCGAGGGGGACUUUCAACAGAGUCCCCAGUCCUCAGCUCAGGGAGGCUCCACCUCUGUCGCAGAAAGCGACCUUAUUGGACGUCACACCUCCUCAGGGUGGUUCACAUCCAGUGACUGAUCCAGGCAGGGGAA